ACUUACUGGGAUGGAAGGACGAACUGCUGAAGCUAGUCGAGAAAGAGCACAAAACGAUUGACGAAGCUACUGCUGAAGCGGAGGAAUCUCAAAAUACCGGUGAAAAAACAGAAGUUGACAAGUCCACUGACAAAGACAGCGACGCAAAAAAGCCAGAAAAGGACUCGGCCAACCUUUAGAAAAGUUUCAAAAUUCCAAGGCUGCGAGUUAUGGUGCAUGAAUAUUAAGGGAGGGCAGUGUAGUUGUUCCGAGUACAAAUGAUGUUUCAUGAUACUUAGCGGAAAACUUAGAUUUAUGCGUUGAAUAAUAGUAUUGCUUUAAAUCAACGAGUAUAGUAACCUGCGAUCAGGCUUUAAAAAAAGAACGCGGCUUCCCAAUAUGGUAGUCAAGUUAAAAAAAAAAUGCUGGAGCCAAACUAUGACAGGCCGCUGCCUAUAAUCAGCGGACAGCACUGCAUAACGGCCAGGAGUUUUCGUCUGGUCCGUGCACCAUUCCGUUGUUUGCCAUUUGCAAAUAAUUUCCAGAAGUUUGGGUUGGGAAAUUCCGUUGCGGAGCAAUGUGUUAGAUUUAAAGUUUCCCUGAAGAUGUGGUUAAGGCGUGAAGCCGCGAAAACCGAAACACCUGGAACUAUCUUAUUACAUGAAAUUUUCGCGACACGUUAAUUUCGCGAUGUAAAAAAGGCGCGAAAUUAAAGUGACGCGAACAAACAGUGUCGCUAACAUAACAUGACGCGAAAGUUAAGCGACUCACAUAAUCAAGUACAGAUGAAAUUUAAUACUGAAUUAAAUUUACAACAACAACUAAAAACUAUUUGAUUAAGGAAAGGCUAUGUCCAAGACACUCGAUAUGCGAGGACAAAUAAUUUGCCGUGUAGUGUAAGCGCUAUUUUACAAUUUUUGUGGUAAUAAUCACUGUUUUGGUGAUAGGCAAACUAUUUUUAUCGCACUAACAAUUUUUUGUUUACACUAUAUGUUUGUGGCGUAUCUGCAGAGUCGCCAAUUAGAUCAAUACAAUAUGCGUCAGUGUACUGACCACUAAAUUUUAUUGACUGACAAUUUGUUUUAUUAAAAUUAUAAUGUUGAAGAAAUUGAA
Long non-coding RNA from Orbicella faveolata, 1092 nucleotides. The record is from RefSeq and is a predicted model, not a curated record. NCBI's taxonomy places the organism in Eukaryota, Metazoa, Cnidaria, Anthozoa, Scleractinia, Merulinidae.